Molecule: long non-coding RNA, 690 nt
Filed under: Serinus canaria (Common canary)
Lineage: Eukaryota; Metazoa; Chordata; Aves; Passeriformes; Fringillidae
Description: lncRNA (ENSSCAG00000004561.1)
Source: RNAcentral
GCAUUAUUUGACACCACUGCCUUUCGCAAUCUUUUUCUUUUGUUUCUGACAAACUCCAAGGCCUCCUGGGCUUUGUGGUCAAAGCUGAGUUGGACUCUUCUGCAGGGGAGGAAAGGGAAGUAGUAAGGGUGUCCCCAAACAUGCCAAACACUUGGGUGACAGAGACCAAGCCUUCUGGAAACAAUACUGCUGGGUUCCCACAGAAGUAGCAAGAGGGCCAACAAAAAAAAAAAAAGAAAAAUCACCUUUGGCUCCCUCACAGCACCUCACAGCAGUGUUAUACCUUUUUCCUUUUUUGCUCUUUUUUUUUUUUUUUUUUUUUUUAGUGAAGGAGAGGCUGAGCCUGCACACCCACACCAAAAUGCUUUUGAUAUUUGGAGAUCUACAGGAAUGGGUCACUACUCUGGCCAGUUUGUUGUUGUCUACCGUGGCUGUUGCAAGACUCAAAGAGAGAUGACUGCAGGGCAGGUGAAGGGAUCUGCAAAUGUCAUGUGCUGUCAUCUUUCCACUGGGUUGCAUCUGAGACCUCAAAGGCUCUGUGUUGGGUCAGCUUUCCCCAUGGUGGCAAAGUCCCUGGAAACAAAGAGGAAGUUGAACACGGACAUCACCUCUGCCCUGGAGUCACAUGCUGAACCCUGGGGACCACCACACACCCUUCAGGUACCAUCAGUUACAUCCCUUCUGCUGUGA